CCCCCGUUAGCUCAGUAGGUAGAGCGCAGGUCUCAUAAUCCUGAAGUCGUGAGUUCGAUCCUCACAUGGGGCA
Molecule: transfer RNA, 73 nt
Organism: Thalassiosira oceanica
Lineage: Eukaryota; Bacillariophyta; Thalassiosirophyceae; Thalassiosirales; Thalassiosiraceae
Rfam family: tRNA
About the family: Transfer RNA (tRNA) molecules are approximately 80 nucleotides in length.
Source: Rfam